GAUGAACGCUGGCGGCGUGCCUAAUACAUGCAAGUCGAGCGAACAGACGAGGAGCUUGCUCCUCUGACGUUAGCGGCGGACGGGUGAGUAACACGUGGAUAACCUACCUAUAAGACUGGGAUAACUUCGGGAAACCGGAGCUAAUACCGGAUAAUAUAUUGAACCGCAUGGUUCAAUAGUGAAAGACGGUUUUGCUGUCACUUAUAGAUGGAUCCGCGCCGCAUUAGCUAGUUGGUAAGGUAACGGCUUACCAAGGCAACGAUGCGUAGCCGACCUGAGAGGGGGAUAGGCCACACUGGAACUGAGACACGGUCCAGACUCCUACGGGAGGCAGCAGUAGGGAAUCUUCCGCAAUGGGCGAAAGCCUGACGGAGCAACGCCGCGUGAGUGAUGAAGGUCUUCGGAUCGUAAAACUCUGUUAUUAGGGAAGAACAAAUGUGUAAGUAACUAUGCACGCCUUGACGGUACCUAAUCAGAAAGCCACGGCUAACUACGUG
This 497-nucleotide ribosomal RNA is filed under the name uncultured bacterium. RNAcentral describes it as "partial 16S ribosomal RNA". It matches the Rfam family "Bacterial small subunit ribosomal RNA", at positions 28 to 507 of the family's 1533-position model. The record is from RNAcentral.